GCCAUAUCAUACCGUAAACGUCGGCUGCGAUUUUACGGAUGUUUCGAGAAGAUUCGCCGCGUUUGGAGAAGUGUGGAUAUUAACAUCGGAGCUGCAACAGUUCUUCAGCAUCAUGGAAUUUACCGAAAACUGAAAAGGGACUAAAUCCUCUCAGAGAUACAGAACAGCACGUGAAGUUGGACAAAGAUUAAGACACACAUGUAUAUAUAUAUAUCAAUCACACCAAAGGGCGAGGUGUAUUUGCAAAAGGCUUUAUGUUGAAAGGUUCAUUCAUUCUUGAAUCCAGAGGAAUCUUGUAUAAGCAUUGAUGCUUCAAGUGUUGACAGAUCACUUGGGAGACUAGUGAAUGAUGAGCAGAAACCCAAUGCAAAGAUGAAAAACCCAAUGGUGGAUGGUAUGCCCCAUCUUUUUUAUUGGCCAUUAUGGAUGGAAGGGAAGUUCGAGAGAUUACUGAUGACUAUGGAGGUGUUGACUUGCCAUGACAUUCCUGCCAUGGACAGGAAAUGCCCAAGUGGAUAACGGAGGUAAAUGCACAUCUGCAAGAACACCAUGGACGAAAGCUGAGGUCAACGCUGUGAUGUGACACAUGAAAGGUCACUUGGCAUCUAAGAGGGAUUGUGAGGUGUGCAAAAAGUGUGAGCAUCCAGCUCUACAAAACAGCACAUGCCAAAAUAUCAGAGAUUUUGUUUGAACCAUUAAACGUCAUUUUGGAUUUUAACUAAAAAAAAUUGUCCAAGGGACUAAACCUCUGUCACGUUUUCACUUGUGAUUUUAUUGUGAAGGUAUUUUUUUAGUAGUUUUGUUUUUAUUCCCAUCACUGAGUGACAGUGUUUUGUACCUUUAUUUCACAACAUGUUUAACAUGGUUACUCUCUGAAUGAUGCUGUUGAAGAUUUUAAUGUAGAUGUUUAUUCCAAUGGAC
Long non-coding RNA from Xyrauchen texanus (razorback sucker), 921 nucleotides. RefSeq lists it as uncharacterized. The record is from RefSeq and is a predicted model, not a curated record. NCBI's taxonomy places the organism in Eukaryota, Metazoa, Chordata, Actinopteri, Cypriniformes, Catostomidae. The transcript has 5 exons.